CAAUAUAAGUGAUGGCGACCGGCGCACGGGUGAGUAACACGUAUCCAACCUGCCGAUAACUCGGGGAUAGCCUUUCGAAAGAAAGAUUAAUACCCGAUGGUAUAAUAAAACCGCACGGUUUAAUUAUUAAAGAAUUUCGGUUAUCGAUGGGGAUGCGUUCCAUUAGGCAGUUGGUGAGGUAACGGCUCACCAAACCUUCGAUGGAUAGGGGUUCUGAGAGGAAGGUCCCCCACAUUGGAACUGAGACACGGUCCAA
RNAcentral lists this ribosomal RNA (256 nucleotides) under uncultured bacterium. RNAcentral's name for it is "partial 16S ribosomal RNA". It matches the Rfam family "Bacterial small subunit ribosomal RNA", at positions 74 to 334 of the family's 1533-position model. The record is from RNAcentral.